Molecule: ribosomal RNA, 775 nt
Filed under: uncultured Neocallimastigales
Lineage: Eukaryota; Fungi; Neocallimastigomycota; Neocallimastigomycetes; Neocallimastigales
Description: partial large subunit ribosomal RNA
Rfam family: Eukaryotic large subunit ribosomal RNA
Source: RNAcentral
CAGAGAUGUGUGAUGACGCAUAUCAAUAAGCGGAGGAAAAGAAACUAACAAGGAUUCCCUUAGUAACGGCGAGUGAAGUGGGAAGAGCUCAAAUUUGAAAUCUUCAAGGUUCUACCUUGACGAAUUGUAGUUUAUAGAAGUGUUUUCUGUUAGUAGAGUGGCAAAAGUUCUUUGGAAUAGGACAUCAUAGAGGGUGAGAAUCCCGUAUUUGGUCAUUCUUUCUAGCUUUGUGAUACACUUUCAACGAGUCGGAUUGUUUGGGAAUGCAGUCCAAAAUGGGUGGUAAAUUUCAUCUAAAGCUAAAUAUUGGCGAGAGACCGAUAGCGAACAAGUACCGUGAGGGAAAGAUGAAAAGAACUUUGAAAAGAGAGUUAAACAGUACGUGAAAUUGUCAAAAGGGAAGCGUUUGACACCAGUGUUGUUUUUCCGAAAAUCAAUUACGAAUGUUUUGUUUUUGAGAAGUUAUGACUUCAUCGGCUUGCUCCUUUCUUUACGAAACUUUCUUAAUGCACUUUUCGGCUAACAAGUCAACAUCAAUUUCUUUUGUUGUAAAAGGGUAUGAGGAAGGUGGCUUUCUUUUCGGAGAAAGUGUUUAUAGCCUUGUGCCUCUGCAAUCGGAGAGAUUGAGGUCUGCAGCGUAGAUCCUUCGGGGUUAGAUACAUUUGUGCUAAGUUAUAGCUUUUCAUAGACAACUUGUUGACUAUGUUUAGUCUUGUAGCUUACUCGCUUAUGCUAUUUUACCUACGCUUAGGAUGUUGACGAUCAGCUGAGCGCG